Transfer RNA from Bodo saltans, 71 nucleotides. It matches the Rfam family "tRNA". Rfam says of the family: Transfer RNA (tRNA) molecules are approximately 80 nucleotides in length. Lineage: Eukaryota; Euglenozoa; Kinetoplastea; Eubodonida; Bodonidae. The record is from Rfam.
GGGGAGAUAGUUCAGUGGCAGAACACUUGAUUGUGGCUCAAGAUACCCGGGUUCGAUUCCCGGUCUCCCCU